Molecule: ribosomal RNA, 253 nt
Filed under: uncultured bacterium
Lineage: Bacteria
Description: partial 16S ribosomal RNA
Rfam family: Bacterial small subunit ribosomal RNA
Source: RNAcentral
UACGUAGGGUGCGAGCGUUGUCCGGAAUUAUUGGGCGUAAAGAGCUCGUAGGCGGUUUGUCACGUCGGAUGUGAAAACCCGAGGCUUAACCUCGGGCCUGCAUUCGAUACGGGCUGACUAGAGUUCGGUAGGGGAGACUGGAAUUCCUGGUGUAGCGGUGAAAUGCGCAGAUAUCAGGAGGAACACCGGUGGCGAAGGCGGGUCUCUGGGCCGAUACUGACGCUGAGGAGCGAAAGCGUGGGGAGCGAACAGG